This 72-nucleotide transfer RNA is filed under the name Camelus bactrianus (Bactrian camel). It matches the Rfam family "tRNA". Rfam says of the family: Transfer RNA (tRNA) molecules are approximately 80 nucleotides in length. Their secondary structure includes four short double-helical elements and three loops (D, anti-codon, and T loops). Lineage: Eukaryota; Metazoa; Chordata; Mammalia; Artiodactyla; Camelidae. The record is from Rfam by way of RNAcentral. RNAcentral also lists the same sequence under 2 other names.
GAGGGUAUAGCCCAGUGGUAGAGUGCAUGCCUAAAAUGCAUGAGGUCCUGGGUUCAAUCCCCAAUGCCUCCA